RNAcentral lists this ribosomal RNA (305 nucleotides) under uncultured bacterium. Its description in RNAcentral is "bacterial SSU rRNA". It matches the Rfam family "Bacterial small subunit ribosomal RNA", at positions 28 to 334 of the family's 1533-position model. The record is from RNAcentral.
GAUGAACGCUAGCGGCAGGCCUAAUACAUGCAAGUCGAACGGUAAGGCCUCUUCGGAGGUACACGAGUGGCGCACGGGUGCGUAACGCGUAUACAACCUACCCUUAAGAGGGGGAUACUCUAUGGAAACGUAGCAUAAUACCCCAUAUAAUGAUAUGAUGGCAUCAUCAAAUCAUGAAAACUCCGGUGCUUAGGGAUGGGUAUGCGUGACAUUAGCUAGUUGGUAAGGUAAUUGCUUACCAAGGCUACGAUGUCUAGCUGGUCUGAGAGGAUGAUCAGCCACACUGGAACUGAGACACGGUCCAG